This 500-nucleotide ribosomal RNA is filed under the name uncultured Glomeromycotina. RNAcentral describes it as "partial small subunit ribosomal RNA". It matches the Rfam family "Eukaryotic small subunit ribosomal RNA", at positions 591 to 1092 of the family's 1831-position model. The record is from RNAcentral. Lineage: Eukaryota; Fungi; Glomeromycota.
CCAAUAGCGUAUAUUAAAGUUGUUGCAGUUAAAAAGCUCGUAGUUGAAUUUCGGGAUCAAUAUAUCGGUCGUGCCUUCGGUAUGCACUGGUAUUAUUGAUUUCUACCUUCUGACGAACCAUGAUGUCAUUAAUUUGGUGUCAUGGGGAAUCAGGACUGUUACUUUGAAAAAAUUAGAGUGUUUAAAGCAGGCACACGCUUGAAUACAUUAGCAUGGAAUAAUGAAAUAGGACGUUUGAUCUUAUUUUGUUGGUUUCUAGGAUCGACGUAAUGAUUAAUAGGGAUAGUUGGGGGCAUUAGUAUUCAAUUGUCAGAGGUGAAAUUCUUGGAUUUAUUGAAGACUAGCUACUGCGAAAGCAUUUGCCAAGGAUGUUUUCACUAAUCAAGAACGAAAGUUAGGGGAUCGAAGACGAUCAGAUACCGUCGUAGUCUUAACCAUAAACUAUGCCGACUAGGGAUCGGAUGAUGUUAAUUUUUUAAUGACUCAUUCGGCGCCUUACG